GCACAAGCGGUGGAUGAUGUGGAUUAAUUCGAUGCAACGCGAAAACCUUACCUACCCUUGACAUGUCCGGAAUCCCGAAGAGAUUUGGGAGUGCUCGCAAGAGAACCGGAACACAGGUGCUGCAUGGCUGUCGUCAGCUCGUGUCGUGAGAUGUUGGGCUAAGUCCCGCAACGAGCGCAACCCUUGUCAUUAGUUGCCAUCAUUUGGUUGGGCACUCUAAUGAGACUGCCGGUGACAAACCGGAGGAAGGUGGGGAUGACGUCAAGUCCUCAUGGCCCUUAUGGGUAGGGCUUCACACGUCAUACAAUGGUCGGUACAGAGGGUUGCCAACCCGCGAGGGGGAGCUAAUCCCACAAAGCCGAUCGUAGUCCGGAUCGCAGUCUGCAACUCGACUGCGUGAAGUCGGAAUCGCUAGUAAUCGUGGAUCAGCAUGUCACGGUGAAUACGUUCCCGGGUCUU
This 459-nucleotide ribosomal RNA is filed under the name uncultured Rhodocyclaceae bacterium. RNAcentral's name for it is "bacterial SSU rRNA". It matches the Rfam family "Bacterial small subunit ribosomal RNA", at positions 923 to 1382 of the family's 1533-position model. The record is from RNAcentral. Lineage: Bacteria; Pseudomonadati; Pseudomonadota; Betaproteobacteria; Rhodocyclales; Rhodocyclaceae.